Molecule: ribosomal RNA, 484 nt
Filed under: uncultured bacterium
Lineage: Bacteria
Description: partial 16S ribosomal RNA
Rfam family: Bacterial small subunit ribosomal RNA
Source: RNAcentral
AUUGAACGCUGGCGGCAGGCCUAACACAUGCAAGUCGAGCGAAAGAAGGGGGUUUGCUCCUGGAUUGGGGGGCGGCGGGGGGAGAAAUGCCUAGAAAUUUGCCUGGACUUGGGGGAAAAGGUCCGGAAACGGGCGCAAAUCCCGCAACCGUCCUGAGGGAGAAAGUGGGGGAUCUCGGGCCCUACCGCUUCCAGAUGAGCCUAGGUCGGAUUAGCUAGUUGGUGGGGUAAAGGCCUACCAAGGCGACGAUCCGAAACUGGUCUGAGAGGAUGACCAGUCACAUUGUCAGUGAGACAGGGUCCACACUCCGACGGGAGGCAGCAGUGGGGAAUAUUGGACGAGGGACGAGUGCCGGAUCCAGCAAUGCGGGGUGAGUGAAGAAGGUCUUCGGACUGGAGAGCACUGUAAGUUGGGAGGUAGGGAAGUUAGUUAAUACCUUACUGUAUUGACGUUACCGGCAGAAUAAGCACCGGCUAACUCCGUG